UCUAAACGCGCCGCCGCUUCCUGUUGCUUCCGUCUCCCGUUGCGCCACCACUUAAUUGAGAAGAUAAAUUGUGAAAGGUUCUGAUCGAAAGGAACCUUGUUCUCGUUGCCUUACUUCUUUUGAAAGUUAUGAUCGGAUUUGCCAAGCACUCAACAUCCGAAACUUGGUGAAUACACUCACUUACUCCCCAAACAAUUCCCUUGAUUUCUUUUCGUCGACGGAGUUAUCAGUUGGAAGUCGUAGUAUUAGCUGACGAAGAAGAGAACUACGUAAGUCGGUCGAUUAAGUUUGAUUCUUACGCCUAUGCACGAGCAUUUUCAGGAAUGCAUCAACGAAGGCAACGAAGUCAGGGGGAAAGCUGUUCGGCGUGUUUGGACUUGCUCUGUCUUAACAUCUUGGUUAACAUGGAUGAUUUCUUGCUAUGCUGAUAACACCUGCGCUGAGGAUGCCUUGCAAUUUUUCUCUAGGAUGACCAUUGUUGGCUUGCGACCUAACAAUUUCUGACUCACUAGACUGAUUAAAGCAGCACAUGGUCUUGGUAAUGAUGUUUUAAUCCUGUUCAAUCAAAAUGAAGGAACUCAAGCUUCAGCCCUGGUGCUAAUUUUGUAGGUGUCUUGCCCUCAUGCAGUAAUGCGGGUUUAAGUUAUUUUAUUUCUAUAAACGAACUAGGAGUAUGGUAUCAGAGAUCAGACCUUGUGCGGAGCAUUAUGCUUGCAUGGUUAGGCUUUCAGGUCAUUCUGGUCUUUUGAAUGAUGCUGUGGAAUUUAUUGACCAGAUGCAUGAAGAACCUAGUGUUAUGGUUCGGCGUGCACUACUAGGUGCUUGGUUGCUGCCUGGAAUCCUGAGAGAUGCUAGGAGCGAACUUCCCUUUUGCUACCUUGGUUGCUGCCUGGAACCUGCGUUUUUGCGCAGAGUGCCAUGCUGCUUUAAUUUCACUGUAAUAUCUUAAAUUGCUAACUGUAAGAGAUAUCAAACGCUUUCAUCAUUUUGAGGAUGGAAUUUGCUCCUGUGGUGAUUAUUGGUGAUGCUUUAUUAGUUUAUUUGUUCUGACGGUAUUUGCAGUCGCUGAUGAGAAUCUGAAAACCACAAUAUGGCAAGGAGCAGUAACAUGAUAAGGGGCAUAACUUACACCAUUGUUCUAGUGUCGGCCUGCAAGGUCCCUGUCAGAGGGAAUUUAAAACCGUCUGUGAUUGACUGUCUGCCAACUGCAGCAAGUAAAACGAGCAAG
Long non-coding RNA from Zingiber officinale, 1228 nucleotides. RefSeq lists it as uncharacterized. The transcript is spliced from 3 exons. The record is from RefSeq and is a predicted model, not a curated record. NCBI's taxonomy places the organism in Eukaryota, Viridiplantae, Streptophyta, Magnoliopsida, Zingiberales, Zingiberaceae.